Rhopalosiphum padi (bird cherry-oat aphid) is the source of this 291-nucleotide long non-coding RNA. RefSeq lists it as uncharacterized. Lineage: Eukaryota; Metazoa; Arthropoda; Insecta; Hemiptera; Aphididae. The record is from RefSeq and is a predicted model, not a curated record. The transcript has 3 exons.
UACAAUAUUACAAUCAAUUUAAGGUUUUUUGUCUCUAAAUUCUCAACAAGUACGUCCUCAAGUACUACCUCUACGUGUAUCACUUAUUUGAAGAUGAUAGUUGCUGUCUUAAUAUUAUUGAAAGCAAUGAAAGCAAAACUGCAUACAUUAAUAUCAAUUCAUUACAGUAUAGAUAAUAUUGUUAUCGAUUUUAUCGGCAUCCUUCUCAUACAUAGGUAUUAUUUGUAUUUGUUAUAACAUGUAUACGAUGUAUCUAAUAUGUACAUCAGUAGCUCAACUACAGAAGUAGGU